ACUCAAAUGAAUAGACGGGGACCCGCACAAGCAGCGGAGCAUGUGGUUUAAUUCGAAGCAACGCGAAGAACCUUACCAGGGUUUGACAUCCCCCUGAAAGCCCCUUAAACGGGGCCUCCUUAGGGCAGGGGAGACAGGUGGUGCAUGGUUGUCGUCAGCUCGUGUCGUGAGAUGUUGGGUUAAGUCCCGCAACGAGCGCAACCCUUGUCAUUAGUUGCCAUCAUUCAGUUGGGCACUCUAGUGAGACUGCCGGGGAUAACUCGGAGGAAGGUGGGGACGACGUCAAAUCAUCAUGCCCCUUAUGCCCUGGGCUACACACGUGCUACAAUGGCCGGUACAACAAGCCGCAAAGCCGCGAGGCGGAGCAAAUCUCAAAAACCGGCCCCAGUUCGGAUUGCAGGCUGCAACUCGCCUGCAUGAAGCCGGAGUUGCUAGUAAUCGCAGAUCAGAAUGCUGCGGUGAAUGCGUUCCCGGGUCUUGUACACACCGCCCGU
This 494-nucleotide ribosomal RNA is filed under the name uncultured bacterium. RNAcentral describes it as "bacterial SSU rRNA". It matches the Rfam family "Bacterial small subunit ribosomal RNA", at positions 899 to 1397 of the family's 1533-position model. The record is from RNAcentral.